RNAcentral lists this ribosomal RNA (484 nucleotides) under uncultured bacterium. RNAcentral's name for it is "partial 16S ribosomal RNA". It matches the Rfam family "Bacterial small subunit ribosomal RNA", at positions 30 to 507 of the family's 1533-position model. The record is from RNAcentral.
AUUGAACGCUGGCGGCAGGCCUAACACAUGCAAGUCGAGCGGAUGAAGGGAGCUUGCUCCUGGAUUCAGCGGCGGACGGGUGAGUAAUGCCUAGGAAUCUGCCUGGUAGUGGGGGAUAACGUCCGGAAACGGGCGCUAAUACCACAUACGUCCUGAGGGAGAAAGUGGGGGAUCUUCGGACCUCACGCUAUCAGAUGAGCCUAGGUCGGAUUAGCUAGUUGGUGGGGUAAGGGCCUACCAAGGCGACGAUCCGUAACUGGUCUGAGAGGAUGAUCAGUCACACUGGAACUGAGACACGGUCCAGACUCCUACGGGAGGCAGCAGUGGGGAAUAUUGGACAAUGGGCGAAAGCCUGAUCCAGCCAUGCCGCGUGUGUGAAGAAGGUCUUCGGAUUGUAAAGCACUUUAAGUUGGGAGGAAGGGCAGUAAGUUAAUACCUUGCCGUUUUGACGUUACCAACAGAAUAAGCACCGGCUAACUUCGUG